UUUGUUGAAAAUGGGUAGAUAAUUUAUCUCCGUGUUGUAGCUAACGCGUUAAGCACUCCGCCUGGGGACUACGGUCGCAAGACUAAAACUCAAAGGAAUUGACGGGGACCCGCACAAGCGGUGGAGCAUGUGGUUUAAUUCGAUGCAACGCGAAAAACCUUACCACUCCUUGACAUGGAGAUUAGAUCCUUCUUAACAGAAGGGCGCAGUUCGGCUGGAUCUCGCACAGGUGCUGCAUGGCUGUCGUCAGCUCGUGUCGUGAGAUGUUGGGUUAAGUCCCGCAACGAGCGUAACCCUCAUCCUUAGUUGCCAGCGGGUAAGCCGGGCACUUUAAGGAAACUGCCGGUGGUAAACCGGAGGAAGGUGGGGAUGAUGUCAAGUCAGCACGGCCCUUAUGGGGUGGGCUACACACGUGCUACAAUGGUGACUACAAUAGGUUGCAAUGUCGCAAGGCUGAGCUAAUCCGUAAAAGUCAUCUCAGUUCGGAUUGUCCUCUGCAACUCGAGGGCAUGAAGUCGGAAUCGCUAGUAAUCGUGGAUCAGCAUGCCACGGUGAAUACGUUCUCGGGUCUUGUACACACUGCCCGUCACGCCAUGGGAAUUGGCUUAACUCGAAGCUGGUGCGCUAACCGAAAGAACCCCACCCAUAAA
This 650-nucleotide ribosomal RNA is filed under the name Anaplasma phagocytophilum. RNAcentral's name for it is "bacterial SSU rRNA". It matches the Rfam family "Bacterial small subunit ribosomal RNA", at positions 812 to 1460 of the family's 1533-position model. The record is from RNAcentral. Lineage: Bacteria; Pseudomonadati; Pseudomonadota; Alphaproteobacteria; Rickettsiales; Anaplasmataceae.